Molecule: ribosomal RNA, 379 nt
Filed under: uncultured bacterium
Lineage: Bacteria
Description: bacterial SSU rRNA
Rfam family: Bacterial small subunit ribosomal RNA
Source: RNAcentral
UAAUACGUAGGUGGCAAGCGUUGUCCGGAUUUAUUGGGCGUAAAGCGCGCGCAGGCGGUCCUUUAAGUCUGAUGUGAAAUCUUGCGGCUCAACCGUAAGCGGUCAUUGGAAACUGGGGGACUUGAGUGCAGAAGAGGAAAGCGGAAUUCCACGUGUAGCGGUGAAAUGCGUAGAGAUGUGGAGGAACACCAGUGGCGAAGGCGGCUUUCUGGUCUGUAACUGACGCUGAGGCGCGAAAGCGUGGGGAGCAAACAGGAUUAGAUACCCUGGUAGUCCACGCCGUAAACGAUGAGUGCUAAGUGUUGGAGGGUUUCCGCCUUUCAGUGCUGCAGCUAACGCAUUAAGCACUCCGCCUGGGGAGUACGGUCGCAAGACUGAA